Molecule: RNA transcript, 1729 nt
Organism: Balaenoptera acutorostrata (minke whale)
Lineage: Eukaryota; Metazoa; Chordata; Mammalia; Artiodactyla; Balaenopteridae
Exons: 3
Source: RefSeq, a predicted model, not a curated record
UCGGCGCGGGCACUCUCGGUUCCCACCGCGGGCUGAGCCGGGUAGAGGCGGCCACUGCGACCUCCAGCCCUGGCGAGCUCGGUUAGAGCUUCCCAGUAAACAACUGAUUGUUCCCUCCGCUCCCUCCUCCUCCCCACUGUGCUCUCCCCCGCCCCCCUCCGGGUCCCCAAAAUGGGUUCAAGGUGUCAACGCUGGAGCAAAUCGGAUUUAACGUGGAAGAUACAGGGUUGGCAGCGCAGGCGCUUCCGUUCCGCGACCCGGUGUCGGGCCGAGUGUUUAUAAACCGCCGACCGCUAAUAAAGAGCAGGGCAUUUGCGAAGACUGUAGGAGAGUGAGAGUGAAAAGAAAAGGCGGAGAGAAAGAUGGCUGUGAUUGUCACACCCCGAAGAGAGCCGAGCCCCAAAGUCUGCGCCUUGAGGCAGCCUCACAGCCUGGCCGCCAUCUCUCUGUAGGAAACCGAACAUCUGAUCAAGUUCAGAGGCGCUUGGCGAGACCGCCUCAAGCAGCGCUUUAUAACUGCAGCCUUUCACUUCCUGCCCCCCCAAUCCGCCUGGCCUGGUCAAGACUUCACCUUCUUUCUUUGCCAGUUUGCUGGGGGGAAACCCUGCCGGUAGCGCACUUACGUAGUCACCCCCUCCCUUCAAACUCGCCCCAAUUCUCCCUCUACAUCAGAGCUCUCUCCCCAGGUUGGAAGCCGCACGGACCCUGGGCGCACAGCUGGUCUGAAAAAGUUUGGAUUUCCUACCGGCGCCAUCCCCGAGGAGAGCGGGGCUCGGGGGCGGAGAGGAGGUGGCUCUCGAGCCCUAACCCGGCCAGCGCUGAUGCGAGGGUUUCCGGGGAGCCCCGCCAGGUACCCCGAGAACCAGGGGCCCGGCGCGUUUGGGAGUCCGGGCCGGCAGCGGGGCGAGGAGCCGAGGAAGGAGGGCGCCGAGGGAGCCUCGCCUGCCCCUUUGCGGGGAGGGGUCCCGAGCGCAGGGCAGGGGAUGUCGCCGCCGCUGACCUACCCGGUGCCCAGUGUCCGUUUUGAUAUGGCCACAUUCCGAUAAUUAAUUGCCUCCAGCACGUGCUCUGUAGUCCCAGGAACAAAAAGGCAUAAUUCAAUUAGGUCAUCAACCGAGAAGUGGGGAGGGGGGAUGCUUGUUAAGGGGCCGACCUGAGGCGGUUCAGCCAGGCCAAAACCCCGGGCGGUGGAGCCCUUCCUGGGGCAGCCCGGCCCAGCCCGAGUGUGCGACUCUGAGGGGGUGUCGUUGCUCGUUGGGGCGCAGGGACCCCCGAUGCCCCCAAGAGGACGAGGCUGGGGACUUUGUGAGCAGCAGGGCAGAGGCAGGCCAUUUCGAAUUCUAUUUCGGUUGGUCUGAGUGGAGGUUUCUUUCUGGGGAGGGGGAACCCUGACCCUUGCAACGCGAUAGAAAGCGAAAUACCUCCAGAUAUAGCAAGUUGCUGCAAAAGAAGACAAUCCCCCCCCCCGCGCAAAGCAAACCACUUCUGUUGGGCAAUAAUAAUAUUAAUAAGUGAAGUUCUCCUGAUUACCUGCAGCCCCCGCCCCUCAACUUACUUUUCGGAGGAGACCCUGAGAACAACUUCGGGGGACAGGGGCUUUAGGGAGCUGAGUCUGAGAGCAGAGUGGUGGCGGAAAGAGGCAAGUGAAGAAAAGUUUUUUUCUGCACACAGGCUGGGGCGAGGCAGAAGAGAGCUCUGGUUUCUUCGUUUCUCAGGUAGAGGAAGGAAU